CAGCUCCAAUAGCGUAUAUUAAAGUUGUUGCAGUUAAAAAAGCUCGUAGUUGGAUUUCUGGUGGAAGUGACCGGUCUGUCCUAGUGGAUGUGAACUUGUGUCUACUUUUGCCAUCCUUGGGGGAGAGCGUGCCUGGCAUUAGGUUGUCGGGUUCGGGAUCCCCAUCCUUUACUGGUGAAAAAAUUAGAGUGUUUAAAAGC
Molecule: ribosomal RNA, 200 nt
Filed under: uncultured eukaryote
Lineage: Eukaryota
Description: partial 18S ribosomal RNA
Rfam family: Eukaryotic small subunit ribosomal RNA
Source: RNAcentral